AACGAACGCUGGCGGCAUGCCUAACACAUGCAAGUCGAACGAGAUCUUCGGGUCUAGUGGCGCACGGGUGCGUAACGCGUGGGAAUCUGCCCUUUGGUUCGGAAUAACAGUUGGAAACGACUGCUAAUACCGGAUGAUGACGAAAGUCCAAAGAUUUAUCGCCAGAGGAUGAGCCCGCGUAGGAUUAGCUAGUUGGUGUGGUAAAGGCGCACCAAGGCGACGAUCCUUAGCUGGUCUGAGAGGAUGAUCAGCCACACUGGGACUGAGACACGGCCCAGACUCCUACGGGAGGCAGCAGUGGGGAAUAUUGGAUAAUGGGCGAAAGCCUGAUCCAGCAAUGCCGCGUGAGUGAUGAAGGCCUUAGGGUUGUAAAGCUCUUUUACCCGGGAUGAUAAUGACAGUACCGGGAGAAUAAGCUCCGGCUAACCCCGUGCCAGCCGCCGUAAUAC
This 449-nucleotide ribosomal RNA is filed under the name uncultured bacterium. RNAcentral describes it as "partial 16S ribosomal RNA". It matches the Rfam family "Bacterial small subunit ribosomal RNA", at positions 29 to 526 of the family's 1533-position model. The record is from RNAcentral.